CGAGUCGCAAGCUCGCGAGAGUAAGCUAAUCUCUUAAAGCCGUUCUCAGUUCGGACUGUAGGCUGCAACUCGCCUACACGAAGUCGGAAUCGCUAGUAAUCGCGGAUCAGCAUGCCGCGGUGAAUACGUUCCCGGGCCUUGUACACACCGCCCGUCACACCAUGGGAGUUUGUACGCCCAAAGUCGGUGGCCUAACCUUUAUGGAGGGAGCCGCCUAAGGCGGGACAGAUGACUGGGGUGAAGUCGUAACAAGGUAGC
RNAcentral lists this ribosomal RNA (258 nucleotides) under uncultured bacterium. Its description in RNAcentral is "partial 16S ribosomal RNA". It matches the Rfam family "Bacterial small subunit ribosomal RNA", at positions 1243 to 1500 of the family's 1533-position model. The record is from RNAcentral.